UUCAAUAUAAAUGGUUUCCGUUUCGAAAAUGUUCUUCAUUAGCUAAUUGAAUUGUAUGUGUAACCACAUUUCCGAAUUUUUAGUGUAGCAAUUCUAAUUAUUUAUUAACAUUGGAAUUGUUAGCAUUGGAUAUUGAUAAACACCAGCGGAUUCUCCUGUUCUCGUUCGUUUCUGAAUGUCGGUCUGGGCCCGCGAUUUGGAUGCAGCUGAGUCAGCUCGAGUUUUGAAUUCAUUUUCCGACUGGCUGCACACACAAAGCGACAGAACCACCCACCGCCCACUCCACCCGAAAAUCCAUGCCCCCCAACCACCCACUUUCCAGCGAAUGCAUUCGAUGUUCGUAAACCUUUUUGUGGCCGCAACUUUUACGAGCCAUUCGAAUGCAGCGGUCCAGACUGGAGACCCCUCGCAUUCGAAUAUGUGCAAUUAUUUCAGUGAAUUUACUGGUAAUUGGAUGAAGCGUUGACGGGACCAGCGGAGUGAUCUGGAGCACGAUAAAUGAACAAAAGCUCCGUCGAGCAGCUGAUAAUUAAUGCGAAAGUUUCUCCCGGCGUGCCUGGAUCUAGAUAUAGAAUCGAGUAUCUUUCGAUCAUUAUAGAUGUUCCCUGCUAAUUCCCGGCUCGUUUUGUCCUAAUAUCAAUUACCAGGACGGGAGCCAGUCAUAACCAGGAUCCCGUCGCGUGAAGGCCGUAAAAAGAGGGAGAGAAGCCUACAAACUGGAGGGCAGCAGUGCACAAAGGACAUCGGGAGCCGCCGCCGAGAUGGAGCAGUGGCAAGUGGUGGAGAAAAGCCAUUAAUGGCCCAAGAGGCGCCUCACUUCUGGGCCAAUCAUGUGUGGCUAAGUCCUAGGUGACACCAGCAGCUAAUAGAACAAUGCGAAGCCUCUGAUGGACUGGAGACGGGGAUUUACAGGGAUGGAGGCAAACUCGAGGCCCGAAUGCCACAUGGCCAUGCUCCGGGCAUUUCUCGUUUUGUCCGGACUCAAUUGAGCCCGAAUCAAUCAGCCAUCAACCUUGAGCUAACGAUGAGCUGGUGAACAUGCGUCGCCCUUUCGGCACUCGGAGCUCGACAUCAAUUAGGAAAUGCAAUUUCAGGUUUCGAUGACUGUUCGGGUGUGUGUGCGGGCCAAGGAUUUCGGUGGUCCUCGCUGGACCCUGAACUGGCAAUAAAUUUAAACAAAACCAAUUUUGUGUCGCAAAAAGUUUGUCACCCAACAGAAGGGAACUUUGAACAGGACUAUGAAUUAUUGAGUCGAUUGCAGGACACACAAAAAUAAAUAAAAUGUACAAAGGACAAAUGAAAAAUUCCGUUCCCGAAAAUGGAAAUUGUUGGAUAUUACGAAAUA
Drosophila sechellia is the source of this 1345-nucleotide long non-coding RNA. RefSeq lists it as uncharacterized. Lineage: Eukaryota; Metazoa; Arthropoda; Insecta; Diptera; Drosophilidae. The record is from RefSeq and is a predicted model, not a curated record. The transcript is spliced from 3 exons.